CAGUCGCCACGGGAAUACGAGGGUGGCAAGCGUUGUUCGGAAUUAUUGGGCGUAAAGGGUGCGUAGGCGGCUUGACAAGUCUUGUGUGAAAUCUUCAGGCUCAACUUGAAGUCUGCAUGGGAAACUGCGGGGCUGGAGUAUGGGAGAGGUGAGUGGAAUUCCUGGUGUAGCGGUGAAAUGCGUAGAUAUCGGAAGGAACACCUGUGGCGGAAGCGGCUCACUGGACAAUAACUGACGCUGAUGCACGAAAGCUAGGGGAGCAAACAGGAUUAGAUACCCCUGUAGUCCCUGUCUCUUAUAC
Molecule: ribosomal RNA, 301 nt
Filed under: uncultured bacterium
Lineage: Bacteria
Description: partial 16S ribosomal RNA
Rfam family: Bacterial small subunit ribosomal RNA
Source: RNAcentral